Long non-coding RNA from Onychomys torridus (southern grasshopper mouse), 249 nucleotides. RefSeq lists it as uncharacterized. NCBI's taxonomy places the organism in Eukaryota, Metazoa, Chordata, Mammalia, Rodentia, Cricetidae. The transcript has 3 exons. The record is from RefSeq and is a predicted model, not a curated record.
GCUAACUGCUCUGAAUUAUGAAGAUUGUGGAAAUAUUAUUAGAAUUUACAUGUGAAAAUAUGACAGCCUGCAUCACCAUCCACUCCUGGCACUCAAGGCAUAGUUCCCUUGCUUCCUCUGAUACAUGUAUUCAGGUGAGAGACAAGAGAAGAAUGAGUCAGCAGCUCCUGUGUUCAUCUCCAAGACUUGAAGAUAUAUAUCAUCUGUAAGGAAGCUUAUCCAAUUCCCACAUCAGUAUAUGGCAGCUAC